ACUAAUACCAUAUACAUGACAAAUGAUGUGACAAACAGUAAGAAAGUAAACUUUACCGUUUCACAGUACAAUCAAUAAAGCCACACAGGCGUAAGUGUUUAUGACAAAUCUCUGCGACAGCUCUCCGACGCCUGGUUUUUACGUCAGUGCCUGAAAUCGCUCAAUCAUUUUCGUUCCCUUCUUCCCCAUAUAGUGGACUCAACUGUCAUUUGCUAUAUAGGGAAUAGUGAAUGAGUGAACGAGGGAGCAGUUUUGGACGCAGCUCCAGAGUAUAGGAGGAGUGGGGAACCCUGGUCCAACCCUAAUCAAACACACCUGAAUUUCAUUUACAAGUGAUCCUGAGGACUUUCAUUUGAUUCUUCAGGUGUGCUUAAUUAGGGUUGGAACAAAACUCUGCAGGACAGUGGCCCUCCAGGACCAGGGUUCUCCACCCCUGCUGUAUAGCAAAACAUGGGAUUUCCAAAUCUAAAUCAUUUUGAUUCAGAUUUAACUUUUUAAACAACAGCCCCCUACAGAUUUUAGCUCCAACCCUAAUCAAACACAGCUGCCAAUUGAGGUGUUCAGGGUUGCUUUAUAAUUACAGACAGGUGUGCUGGAGCUGGAUGCAACUGAGGUCUGCAGGAUGGUAGCUCUCCAGGAACAGGGUUGGACACCUGUGUUUUAUUCAGUCUUUGGUUCCUGCAGUUGAUGAGUUUGACUGAACACCUCUUCAGGAUCUGCUGCUGUUCUCCAGCGUUACAGACAGAAUCCAGAGACUUGGUGAAGGUUUGAUCAGUAGAUUCCUCAUCCUGUAAACCCUGAUUACUGUCACACACAGCUGUGUCCUCCUGAUCGUCUGUGGGCUUUGACUCAGUAUAACAGAGUAAAGCGAGACUGAUCUCCGAGUCCUGUGUUUGUCUGGAUUUGUCUUCAGAGAGUUGAGUCCAGCAGUGGUGUGGUCUGAUCUCCGCUGAUCCACGCUUAAUCCAGACAUUCACUGGAGCUCCCAUCAUCAGUCACAUCCAUUGAAGAUUCACGACAAACCACUUCCUGACAACACACGCGCACACACACACACCCACCGUGAGAUUAUAAAUGAUAUUUGAUGAUUGAGUGAUGCAAGUAAACCAUACAGACCUCUCGGUUCAUCUCCUUUUGACCUCAGCGUUGUCUCCAGUAACGCCACCUCUUUCUUUAGAUGAGAGAUUUCUGCGAUGAACUCCUCAAUAUCCAGCAUGGACAGAUCAGUUCCUACUGAUUUACAGCACAUGUGAACUCUCAUCGUCAACAUCUUAACACUAAAAUACACUUUGACAAGUAUCUGUGUACACUGAAUAAAACACUAAAAUCAUUGAAAUAAAACUGAUGUAAAGCACGCAGUGGUUGAUGUUUGAGUUUGU
Molecule: long non-coding RNA, 1379 nt
Organism: Paramisgurnus dabryanus
Lineage: Eukaryota; Metazoa; Chordata; Actinopteri; Cypriniformes; Cobitidae
Source: RefSeq, a predicted model, not a curated record